Molecule: long non-coding RNA, 357 nt
Filed under: Brassica napus (rape)
Lineage: Eukaryota; Viridiplantae; Streptophyta; Magnoliopsida; Brassicales; Brassicaceae
Description: long non-coding RNA (BNAP_LNC021871)
Source: RNAcentral
AAUUUUAUCUAUAUAUCAAACUAAGAGUUAUCAGCAUUAUCUCUUUAAUUUCAUUUUUUUUUUUUUGCUUCUUCCCAAUUUUUCUCUCUUUUCUUCUUAGAUCUACUUUCUUGUGCAAAAGGACCACCGUGACAUUCCUGGUUCCACCGCAAAUCCUUGCACCACCACUGUCCGCACAUCUUUCACCGCCACUGCUGCAACUCCUUCAUGGCCUCUGCCCCAACUCCGGGCACCGCCACUGCCGCAACUCCUUCACCGCUGCUACCGCAACUUCUUCACCGCCACUGCCGCAACUCCUUGCGCCGCCACGCCUCUUUCUUUGCAUCCAGCCACCGUAACUCCUUGCACGACCACCAC